CACGCCGUAAACGAUGAAUACUAGGUGUAGGAGGUAUCGACUCCUUCUGUGCCGCAGCUAACGCAAUAAGUAUUCCGCCUGGGAANAGCAACGCGAAGAACCUUACCUAGACUUGACAUCCCCUGAAUUACCUGUAAUGAGGGAAGCCCUUCGGGGCAGGGAGACAGGUGG
RNAcentral lists this ribosomal RNA (171 nucleotides) under uncultured bacterium. Its description in RNAcentral is "partial 16S ribosomal RNA". It matches the Rfam family "Bacterial small subunit ribosomal RNA", at positions 796 to 1041 of the family's 1533-position model. The record is from RNAcentral.